CACUGUUGGAGCUUUUCAAAGAGGAGCAGCUUCAGUCUCUGAGAAUGUUACUCAGCCGGUUUGUUGUCUCCCUGUGGACGAGUGGAAGAUGAAUCCGGAAAUGAAGGAGGCCUGAGUUCAGUAUCUGUUUCUCCUGGAGUCGGGGCAGGUUUGGACUGAGGCUUUGAUCUGGUUCAUCAGAUAAGAGACGAUACAAAGAGACGUUGUAUUAAUACUCCAGCUCAAAGAGGAAUCGUGACAACUGAGUUCAACUGUGACCGACCGUGGGAAGAGAUAAGGUCAGCUGACGAUGGGUGGCUCCUCCUCCAAAACAACCUUUGUCUGGAAAAAGAAGAAGAAAUCACCUCUGGAAAAAGCCUGGAGCGACCUGAAGGGGGCGCUGCCCGAUAAGAAACGCAAAAAGAAGAGUUCUCGGUCCCUAAACAAACUGAACUUGGAUAACCUGAGGAAGGGGAAGUCUUCCCAGAGGAGAUUCUCGCUGCCAACAGACAAGAAAGAGCCGAAGCAAAGGUUUUCUCUGGGUAACAUGAGUAAGACGCCGACGAAGAAGGAGAAGGAGAGGAACGGAGGAGGGCUGGGGAAAGUAGGAGAGCAGAUAAAAAGGGCAUUUUCUCAGGAACAAAAGAAAGAGCUCAGGACUCGUCAAGAUGUUUCUCCCUCUGUGAAGUUAAAGACAGAGGAGAGGAAAGAGGCAAACGUUCAGAAAAGUGGCACGAAAGCGUCUAAAAUAAACUUCAAGUUUCCACGAGAUCCAUUCAUUUGACAGGAAUCAACGCAAAAGGACAAUUUCAGACGAAGAGACUCGUGACUUUUGUUUUGGAGAUGAAAGAAAAGACGACAGGAGACAUUCAAGGUUUUUUAAUGACGUCACUGUCGGGUUGUCUCGGUGCAGCGUGAGACUACAGACUGUAAAUAAAGAUGGACGACAUGACGGAUUCCUCAAAAGUGAAUCUUGAUCGCCCCCUUGUGGCUGGUUGCAGUAUCCGUCACCAACCCUUUCUCCUCCAUGUUAGUGGGUGAUCGGUUGACCAUUUAAAAUAAACGGGAUUAAACAUU
Long non-coding RNA from Hippoglossus stenolepis (Pacific halibut), 1056 nucleotides. RefSeq lists it as uncharacterized. Lineage: Eukaryota; Metazoa; Chordata; Actinopteri; Pleuronectiformes; Pleuronectidae. The transcript has 2 exons. The record is from RefSeq and is a predicted model, not a curated record.